This 490-nucleotide ribosomal RNA is filed under the name Austrodytes plateni. Its description in RNAcentral is "partial 16S ribosomal RNA". It matches the Rfam family "Bacterial large subunit ribosomal RNA", at positions 1847 to 2597 of the family's 2925-position model. Lineage: Eukaryota; Metazoa; Arthropoda; Insecta; Coleoptera; Dytiscidae. The record is from RNAcentral.
AAGGUCUAACCUGCCCAAUGAAAUUUUAAAUGGCCGCAGUAUAUUGACUGUGCAAAGGUAGCAUAAUCAUUAGUUUUUUAAUUAAAAGCUUGUAUGAAGGGUUGGACGAGAUAAAAUCUGUCUUAAUUUAAUUUAUUUUAGAAUUUAAUUUUUAAGUUAAAAAGCUUAAAUGUUAUUAAAAGACGAGAAGACCCUAUAGAUCUUUAUAAUUUUUAUAUUAUUAUUAUUUUAGAAUUAUAAAUUUAUUAAUAUAGUGAUUAUUUUAUUGGGGUAAUAUAAAGAUUUAAAUAAUUCUUUAAUAAUUUUAACAUUGAUUUAUGAUUAUUUGAUCCAUUAUUAUUGAUUAUAAGAUUAAGUUACCUUAGGGAUAACAGCGUAAUUUUUUUAGAGAGUUCAUAUCGAUAAAAAAGUUUGCGACCUCGAUGUUGGAUUAAAAAUUAUCUUAGGUGCAGUAGUUUAAGAUUUUGGUCUGUUCGACCAUUAAAUUUUU